GACGAACGCUGGCGGCGUGCUUAACACAUGCAAGUCGAACGAAGUGGCGAACGGGUGAGUAAUACGUGGGUAACCUGCCCUCCUUUUUGGGAUAAGCCUUGGAAACGGGGUCUAAUACCGAAUAAAGGGGGAUGGGCUCGCGGCCUAUCAGCUUGUUGGUGGGGUGAUGGCCUACCAAGGCGGUGACGGGUAGCCGGCCUGAGAGGGUGACCGGCUGAAGUGGGACGUAGAGACGGCGCAGACUCCUAGGGUAGUCAGCAGUGGGGAAGAGUGCACAAUGGGCGCAAGCCUGAUGCAGCCAUGCCGCGUGUAGGAAGAAGGCCUUAGGGUUGUAAAGUACUUUCAGCGGGUAGACGUUAGCCGCAGAAGAAGCACCGGCUAACUCCGUGCCAGCAGCCGCGGUAAUUC
RNAcentral lists this ribosomal RNA (408 nucleotides) under uncultured bacterium. RNAcentral's name for it is "partial 16S ribosomal RNA". It matches the Rfam family "Bacterial small subunit ribosomal RNA", at positions 28 to 526 of the family's 1533-position model. The record is from RNAcentral.